CAUCUUAUUCUUCAUGACAAACAUUUACAUGUGUAUUCAUAAUUCACAACAUGGUCGAUUAUUUCUCAAACUCUAAUCCAGGAAUUUGUGAUAAAAAUGGUGAGAAAAAUGAUUUAAAAAAUUCUAUUAAUCCAUCAUUGAAAAAACAAGAUCAAAUUUUGUCUCCUGAAGAUGUAGCCUCUGAUACUUUGACAAGUCUUUUCAGUGAAACUGCAGGAUGUUUAAGCAACCAGCGAUAUAUCAAAACACCUAUCAUUCGGCUAUCAACGAAUCAAACAUAUACUUCAAUUGCAUCUUCCUCAAGUCAAAUUAGUCCAAAUUUCCAACGUAAAUCUAUUGUACAUCGACAUGUUUCACCUCACCCACCAAUAUUUAGACAAGGAAUCACUGAAACAGAUACUUUCAAAUCUGUAAGAAAAACAAGAUCCAUGGUAUUUCCUAAAAGUGUGACAUUUUUGUAAUAUCAUACAUUAACAGAUAUGAUACUAAUUGAUGGCAAUAUAUUCUUAUCAAUCUAAAACUAUACAGUAAUGAAUACAGCUUGGUAUAGAAGUAGCUCUGCUUCCACUCCAGAUUUAAAAGUUGAUCAUCAAAAAACACUAUUUGUAACAACAUCACCUAAAGAAAAUACAAAAUGGCAAAGUGUGUAUAGAAUAUGGACUUUAAUAUAUAAUAUGCAUGUAAUAGAGAUUACUCUUGAUUGUAUUAUUUUGGUGGGUAGAAUGUCCAAUAAUUCUUUGACAUAUAUUAUAUAAUUAUUAUCUUUAGGUUGCAGGAUUUAUACAUUUAGCUGCAGGUAUAAUUCUGGCUAUACACAAAAACAUUAUAUUGACAAUAGUGAAACAAGAAAUACAUACUUUAAUAAGAACAACUUUUAUUAUUGUAUCCUUAGUACUCUUGAUCUAUUCUAUUAUCGCACUUUAUUUCCUUCACAAAGGACGACAAAAAAGAGCAAUAGUUGGUGGCAAUAUAAGCUUUACAUCUUAUUUUUUUCGUAUUAAACACCUAUUUCCUUCUUUUAGCAUGCAGCUUCUUCUUUAAUUAUGGCAUUAGUUAUGCUAUUCAUUGCUUCCAUGCAAAAUAGAGUAGAAACUAAUCUUUUAAAUAAUGUGGAAAUGAAUAUGCUCUCAAUGAUUAAUUCCAAGACAAUACACUUUUCUUCAUCUACUUUGGAUACAUUUCAUAUAAUGUUUAAAUGCUGCGGAGCAAAAGGCAAUUUGGAUUGGUGUAAAAACGAAAAAUUUCUUAAGGGAAUCAAUUUCAAAACUGAUCAAAUGAAUUCUAUAAAUCUUUUAGGUCUUUACAUUUGCCAUAUCCCGAUAUCUUGUUGUGCAUCAUCUAUCGACGAAUAUAAUUCAAAAAUCAUGCUCAUCAUACCCAACACCGUGGAAUACCUAUCGUCCUGGAUGUUUAACACCAUUAAAACUUGAAGUAUAUUACAUGGGUACAUUAUACAGGGUUAUAUGCUUCACGACUAUCAUAGUAUUGCUUUUAUCUAUGGCAUCUUCAAUACUUCUCUGCAUUUAUCCGUAAAGUAAUCAUAGUAUGAAGUAUAAAAAACAAUCGCAUAAUAUAAAAAAAUUACGAAAAAAAGAAAUUUUUCUUAAUAUAAAAUUUGUAUCAAUGUGUGUGGCAUAAAGGAAAAGACAUCCCGUUCUAAUAACUAGGUUAUUAUCAUUUACGUAGAAAAUAUAACACGUCUAAUGUAAAUCUAAUUGAUUUAUAAACGAAAAAUUAUAUAA
Molecule: RNA transcript, 1742 nt
Organism: Vespula pensylvanica (western yellowjacket)
Lineage: Eukaryota; Metazoa; Arthropoda; Insecta; Hymenoptera; Vespidae
Exons: 6
Source: RefSeq, a predicted model, not a curated record